Lutzomyia longipalpis is the source of this 1328-nucleotide long non-coding RNA. RefSeq lists it as uncharacterized. The record is from RefSeq and is a predicted model, not a curated record. Lineage: Eukaryota; Metazoa; Arthropoda; Insecta; Diptera; Psychodidae. The transcript is spliced from 3 exons.
UAGGUAUCCCUCGACUUUCGAGAAAUGUGUCACCCAGAAAAAUGCCUCAAUCUGAAAAAUUCUACCAUCACUGGAAAGAUAAUUUAAUAUUCUAUCGAUUGAGGAAGUUUGGUGGGUGGCACAUUCCUAUUAAUGCACUAAUAUUGACUUUAAAAAUUUCAAUGCACUUUUUAGAAAAAAAUCACGACAUUUUCUUCCUUGGUGACAACCGCGCCAUCUAUUGAUGAGCAAAAACUAUGUAGCUUCGAGACCUUUAACAGUUUUUAACAUAACCUUACUUUUUUGUUUUGAUUCUUGAUUUUCAUCAUUUUCUUUGUUUUAAAGCUUAUUUUUGUGCUUUAGCAUGACUAAAAUACAGUAAAAGUUAGAAUAUUUGCCUAAGUGAUGUGUAAAGUGCUGCCGAUUUGUGAUACGUGACAAAGAAAAUGUUUAUUUUCACGAGUGAAAGUUGUAAUGCCACCCGGAAGACUUUGUGCAAGAAAAAAAAUGGGGAUUUCUUUGUCGCAGGCAAUUUCUGAUUGCAAAUUGGAAUAUCAGGCGAAUCUUGAACUGACAAAAAGUCUAGGUGCCCCAUGGUUUUGUCAGGAGUCAUGUCCGGUCAUCAAUUCUCACCGAGGAAUGCGAAGUAUUAAAAUCUUGAGGCUGCUAGAGUGAAAUAUUUUUAGAAAAGGCAAACAAACAACCUAUUCAGUUCUCAAGGGAAGGAUCAAGGAGACUGAAGCGCCUAUGAGAAGAUUGAUUCACAACACUGAAGCAUAAUAGAAGUACCAAAGAAGGACUAGAAAAGCAGAUUACGACUUUAUUUAACGUCACUGGAGAUAAACUUGUAGUGCUACAAUACUAAUAAGCGAAUCCUGAGAAGCUCAAUGUCCAGGAUUCAUUGAAUGUCGGGAAGAAGCUGUUCUCUCUUGAGAAGUAGAAAAUUCGUCUGACUAUUCCCAGUUCAGGAAAUGCUGUGAACACUCAUAACAAAUAAUUUCUAAUUUAGGGUGAAAAUUGGAAUUUUAUUUGUCUACUGACUUUACAAAACACAAUAUGUACGCAAAGAUAUCUCUGUCGCAUCUGUAUGAUCAACAUAUUUUUUUUCCGGAAGAAUGCUGUUAUAUUUUCUUCGUUGCAAUAGGCUCACUCAAAACGAAUUGCUCAAUGUACGGAAUGAGGGCAGUAAUUGUGAAGUCCUGAAUGAGGUGACGCGGUUUAUGUGCAUCGCUGGCUGCUAGGUUGCAAAAUAGGAGUCUCAGUACUGUGAUCAUUGGCGAUAUAUCUCCUGCAUUUCCCCGCAGGAGCUACAGUGAAGGAUGUACCGCUUCAUCGAUGAGAAUUGCCAG